GGGUUGUGAGGUUAAGCGACUAAGCGUACACGGUGGAUGCCCUGGCAGUCAGAGGCGAUGAAGGACGUGCUAAUCUGCGAAAAGCGUCGGUAAGGUGAUAUGAACCGUUACAGCCGGCGAUGUCCGAAUGGGGAAACCCAGUGUGAUUCGUCACACUAUCGUUAACUGAAUACAUAGGUUAACGAGGCGAACCGGGGGAACUGAAACAUCUAAGUACCCCGAGGAAAAGAAAUCAACCGAGAUUCCCCCAGUAGCGGCGAGCGAACGGGGAGCAGCCCAGAGUCUGAAUCAGCUUGUGUGUUAGUGGAACGGUCUGGAAAGUCCGACGGUACAGGGUGAUAGUCCCGUACACCAAAAUGCACAGGCUGUGAACUCGAAGAGUAGGGCGGGACACGUGGUAUCCUGUCUGAAUAUGGGGGGACCAUCCUCCAAGGCUAAAUACUCCUGACUGACCGAUAGUGAACCAGUACCGUGAGGGAAAGGCGAAAAGAACCCCGGCGAGGGGAGUGAAAAAGAACCUGAAACCGUGUACGUACAAGCAGUGGGAGCACCUUCGGGUGUGACUGCGUACCUUUUGUAUAAUGGGUCAGCGACUUAUAUUCUGUAGCAAGGUUAACCGUAUAGGGGAGCCGCAGGGAAACCGAGUCUUAACUGGGCGUUAAGUUGCAGGGUAUAGACCCGAAACCCGGUGAUCUAGCCAUGGGCAGGUUGAAGGUUGGGUAACACUAACUGGAGGACCGAACCGACUAAUGUUGAAAAAUUAGCGGAUGACUUGUGGCUGGGGGUGAAAGGCCAAUCAAACCGGGAGAUAGCUGGUUCUCCCCGAAAGCUAUUUAGGUAGCGCCUCGUGAAUUCAUCUUCGGGGGUAGAGCACUGUUUCGGCUAGGGGGUCAUCCCGACUUACCAACCCGAUGCAAACUACGAAUACCGAAGAAUGUUAUCACGGGAGACACACGGCGGGUGCUAACGUCCGUCGUGAAGAGGGAAACAACCCAGACCGCCAGCUAAGGUCCCAAAGUCAUGGUUAAGUGGGAAACGAUGUGGGAAGGCACAGACAGCCAGGAUGUUGGCUUAGAAGCAGCCAUCAUUUAAAGAAAGCGUAAUAGCUCACUGGUCGAGUCGGCCUGCGCGGAAGAUGUAACGGGGCUAAACCAUGCACCGAAGCUGCGGCAGCGACACUAUGUGUUGUUGGGUAGGGGAGCGUUCUGUAAGCCUGCGAAGGUGUGCUGUGAGGCAUGCUGGAGGUAUCAGAAGUGCGAAUGCUGACAUAAGUAACGAUAAAGCGGGUGAAAAGCCCGCUCGCCGGAAGACCAAGGGUUCCUGUCCAACGUUAAUCGGGGCAGGGUGAGUCGACCCCUAAGGCGAGGCCGAAAGGCGUAGUCGAUGGGAAACAGGUUAAUAUUCCUGUACUUGGUGUUACUGCGAAGGGGGGACGGAGAAGGCUAUGUUAGCCGGGCGACGGUUGUCCCGGUUUAAGCAUGUAGGCUGGUUGUCCAGGCAAAUCCGGAUAAUCAAGGCUGAGGUGUGAUGACGAGGUACUACGGUGCUGAAGUAACAAAUGCCCUGCUUCCAGGAAAAGCCUCUAAGCAUCAGGUAACAUCAAAUCGUACCCCAAACCGACACAGGUGGUCAGGUAGAGAAUACCAAGGCGCUUGAGAGAACUCGGGUGAAGGAACUAGGCAAAAUGGUGCCGUAACUUCGGGAGAAGGCACGCUGGUGUGUAGGUGAAGUCCCUGCGGAUGGAGCUGAGACCAGUCGAAGAUACCAGCUGGCUGCAACUGUUUAUUAAAAACACAGCACUGUGCAAACACGAAAGUGGACGUAUACGGUGUGACGCCUGCCCGGUGCCGGAAGGUUAAUUGAUGGGGUUAUCCGUAAGGAGAAGCUCUUGAUCGAAGCCCCGGUAAACGGCGGCCGUAACUAUAACGGUCCUAAGGUAGCGAAAUUCCUUGUCGGGUAAGUUCCGACCUGCACGAAUGGCGUAAUGAUGGCCAGGCUGUCUCCACCCGAGACUCAGUGAAAUUGAACUCGCUGUGAAGAUGCAGUGUACCCGCGGCAAGACGGAAAGACCCCGUGAACCUUUACUAUAGCUUGACACUGAACAUUGAGCCUUGAUGUGUAGGAUAGGUGGGAGGCUUUGAAGCGUGGACGCCAGUCUGCGUGGAGCCAACCUUGAAAUACCACCCUUUAAUGUUUGAUGUUCUAACGUUGGCCCCUUACCGGGGUUGCGGACAGUGUCUGGUGGGUAGUUUGACUGGGGCGGUCUCCUCCCAAAGCGUAACGGAGGAGCACGAAGGUUAGCUAAUCCUGGUCGGACAUCAGGAGGUUAGUGCAAUGGCAUAAGCUAGCUUGACUGCGAGCGUGACGGCGCGAGCAGGUGCGAAAGCAGGUCAUAGUGAUCCGGUGGUUCUGAAUGGAAGGGCCAUCGCUCAACGGAUAAAAGGUACUCCGGGGAUAACAGGCUGAUACCGCCCAAGAGUUCAUAUCGACGGCGGUGUUUGGCACCUCGAUGUCGGCUCAUCACAUCCUGGGGCUGAAGUAGGUCCCAAGGGUAUGGCUGUUCGCCAUUUAAAGUGGUACGCGAGCUGGGUUUAGAACGUCGUGAGACAGUUCGGUCCCUAUCUGCCGUGGGCGCUGGAGAAUUGAGGGGGGCUGCUCCUAGUACGAGAGGACCGGAGUGGACGCAUCACUGGUGUUCGGGUUGUCAUGCCAAUGGCACUGCCCGGUAGCUAAAUGCGGAAGAGAUAAGUGCUGAAAGCAUCUAAGCACGAAACUUGCCCCGAGAUGAGUUCUCCCUGAGACUUUAAGUCUCCUGAAGGAACGUUAAAGACGAUGACGUUGAUAGGCCGGGUGUGUAAGCGCAGCGAUGCGUUGAGCUAACCGGUACUAAUGAACCGUGAGGCUUAACCUUACAACGCCGAAG
Molecule: ribosomal RNA, 2923 nt
Filed under: Klebsiella pneumoniae
Lineage: Bacteria; Pseudomonadati; Pseudomonadota; Gammaproteobacteria; Enterobacterales; Enterobacteriaceae
Description: bacterial LSU rRNA
Rfam family: Bacterial large subunit ribosomal RNA
Source: RNAcentral